RNAcentral lists this ribosomal RNA (501 nucleotides) under uncultured Bacillota bacterium. RNAcentral describes it as "bacterial SSU rRNA". It matches the Rfam family "Bacterial small subunit ribosomal RNA", at positions 563 to 1068 of the family's 1533-position model. The record is from RNAcentral. Lineage: Bacteria; Bacillati; Bacillota.
AAGGGUGCGUAGGCGGAUGUUAAGUGGGAUGUGAAAUCCCCGGGCUUACCUGGGGGCUGCAUCCAAACUGGAUAUCUAGAGUGCAGGAGAGGAAAGCGGAAUUCCUAGUGUAGCGGUGAAAUGCGUAGAGAUUAGGAAGAACACCAGUGGCGAAGGCGGCUUUCUGGACUGUAACUGACGCUGAGGCACGAAAGCGUGGGUAGCAAACAGGAUUAGAUACCCUGGUAGUCCACGCCGUAAACGAUGGAUACUANGUGGGGGGGGUAUCAACCCCCCUGUGCCGCAGUUAACACAAUAAGUAUCCCGCCUGGGGAGUACGGUCGCAAGAUUAAAACUCAAAGGAAUUGACGGGGGCCCGCACAAGCAGCGGAGCAUGUGGUUUAAUUCGAAGCAACGCGAAGAACCUUACCUGGACUUGACAUCCCUUGCAUAGCCUAGAGAUAGGUGAACCCUUCGGGGCAAGGAGACAGGUGGUGCAUGGUUGUCGUCAGCUCGUGUCGU